Dioscorea cayenensis subsp. rotundata (Guinea yam) is the source of this 107-nucleotide small nucleolar RNA. Lineage: Eukaryota; Viridiplantae; Streptophyta; Magnoliopsida; Dioscoreales; Dioscoreaceae. The record is from RefSeq and is a predicted model, not a curated record.
AUUCCAUGUUAUGGGCAUUUCCUCUGCAUUUCCUUGUACCUCUCCCAAGUGUCAUACAAGAAUUCAAAUUCUAACUGCACAAUAGAUGAAAUAUCACUCCUCAGCUU